RNAcentral lists this ribosomal RNA (410 nucleotides) under Tylos exiguus. Its description in RNAcentral is "partial 16S large subunit ribosomal RNA". It matches the Rfam family "Archaeal large subunit ribosomal RNA", at positions 2015 to 2640 of the family's 2987-position model. Lineage: Eukaryota; Metazoa; Arthropoda; Malacostraca; Isopoda; Tylidae. The record is from RNAcentral.
UAUAUUGACUGUGCUAAGGUAGCAUAAUAACUUGCCUUUUAAUUGAAGGCUAGAAUGAAGGAUUUGACGAGAGGUAACCUGUCUCUGCCUGUUAGAAAUAAAUUUAUAUAAAGGUAAAAAAGCCUUUAAGCUCCAAUGGGACAAUAAGACCCUAUAAAGCUUUAUUUAUACUAGUUGCUAGCGUUAAGACAAAGGCAAUCUAACUAUAAAUUUUACUGGGGCGGUAAAUAAUCUAACGUUAUUCAAUCUCACGCAUUUGAGCGAAAUUUAUUCAACUUAUAUCUAAAUUUAAGAACAAGUUACUUUAGGGAUAACAGCAUAAUUUCUUUUAGAGUUCUUAUCGACAAGGAAGAUUAUGACCUCGAUGUUGAAUUAAGUCACUUCUAUUAAGCAGCCCUAAUAGCUAAGAA